ACGUUGGAAGGGAUUUCUUCUC
RNAcentral lists this small nuclear RNA (22 nucleotides) under Arabidopsis thaliana (thale cress). RNAcentral describes it as "snRNA_08965". Lineage: Eukaryota; Viridiplantae; Streptophyta; Magnoliopsida; Brassicales; Brassicaceae. The record is from RNAcentral.